AUACGUAGGGGGCGAGCGUUGUCCGGAAUGAUUGGGCGUAAAGGGCGCGUAGGCGGCCCGGUAAGUCUGGAGUGAAAGUCCUGUUUUUAAGAUGGGAAUUGCUUUGGAUACUGUCGGGCUUGAGUGCAGGAGAGGUAAGUGGAAUUCCCAGUGUAGCGGUGAAAUGGGUAGAGAUUGGGAGGAACACCAGUGGCGAAGGCGACUUACUGGACUGUAACUGACGCUGAGUCGCGAAAGUGUGGGGAGCAAACAGGAUUAGAUACCCUGGUAGUCCACACUGUAAACGAUGAAUGCUAGGUGUAGGGGGUAUCGACCCCUUCUGUGCCGCAGUCAACACAAUAAGCAUUCCGCCUGGGGAGUACGGCCGCAAGGUUGAAACUCAAAGGAAUUGACGGGG
Molecule: ribosomal RNA, 397 nt
Filed under: uncultured bacterium
Lineage: Bacteria
Description: partial 16S ribosomal RNA
Rfam family: Bacterial small subunit ribosomal RNA
Source: RNAcentral